AUACGGAGGGUGCGAGCGUUGUCCGGAAUCACUGGGCGUAAAGGGCGCGUAGGCGGCCUGGUAAGUAGGGGGUGAAAUCCUGCGGCUUAACCGCAGGGCUGCCUUCUAAACUGUCAGGCUCGAGCACGGUAGAGGCAGAUGGAAUUCCCGGUGUAGCGGUGGAAUGCGUAGAGAUCGGGAAGAACAUCAGUGGCGAAGGCGGUCUGCUGGGCCGUUGCUGACGCUGAGGCGCGACAGCGUGGGGAGCAAACAGGA
Molecule: ribosomal RNA, 255 nt
Filed under: uncultured prokaryote
Description: partial 16S ribosomal RNA
Rfam family: Bacterial small subunit ribosomal RNA
Source: RNAcentral